AUUUUAUUUAUUUAGGUAAAAAUAACAAUGAGUUGAAUACUGGGAAAGAUAGCUCAUAGAGCCCCAUUCCCUGAGUGCACUACCAAAGUCUGAAAAGCCCAUAAAUGCCAUUUUGAAACAGAGGGCCUGGUAAGGAGUCAACUGAAUUAACAUUUGUAGGAGAGAGUAGCAGGUGACACAUGGGGAGGGUGAGUGGGAACCCACCCGGUAGGUACAGGCAGACACUGAAUCCUUUUGGAGAAAACUGAGGGCAGAUGCAUUUGCUAGUAGACCCCAAGUUCCUCACGCUCAUGACGGCCACAGGGGCCAGGCCGGUGUGUCAACCCACAAAUGUGAGCUCUCGGGAGGCGCCCCAGUCGGUGACUCUUAGGGCCUGGAAACUGAGCAGUCAGGCUGUCCUGUUCAAGCCCCCUGAUGGCUCCAUGGAAACACACCCAGCGAGCUCCUAGGACACCAACACAAGACCUUGAGGCUCUGUUCCCCUCAACUAAUUGUCCAGAUAAGCCAGAACUAGUUGGGGGAGUAAAAGGAAAAGUUCAUUUAACAAAAAUUGUAGAUUCAGUUAAGAUAUGGUCAGGCCCCAGGUUAGCGCACCCUGGUCUCUGCCCUCAGAGGGAGAGAAGCGCGAUGCUGGGCACAGACUCCGACCGGGGCGGUGAGCGUACACACGGGACGCCCGGGAACCUGGGGUGGGGAAGCACCGCCUCUGGCUGUGGAAGGGCCCCGCGGCUGUCACUGAGUCUCUCACACCCCCUCCCUGUCCCGUGGCACCGUCAUGGGAGUGUGACACGGGGUCCCGGUGAGUCACAGACGCUUCCGCGUGAGGGCUGAGGAAGAGCGGAGACCAGGAAGUUCCGUGAUGCCGGCAUGAGUGUGGCAAGUCAUUCCUGAGGUUGCACACAGGAGGCAUUAGGGUUGGGAAACAAGUGCAUCGCCCUGGUCCUGGGCCGUCCCCUGCCUGGAGCCGCCUGCUCCUUAUAAAAGGGCCUCCUCAGCACACGGAGGCUAUCCUGCCGACACUCAGCCCUAGACCUUCUGCGGAGCGUCAGAUUCCUCGGACCCAGGAAAGAUGUCUUACCAGCAGCAGCAGUGCAAGCAGCCCUGCCAGCCUCCCCCCGUGUUCAUACCUAAGUGCCCGGAGCCUUGCCCUCCACCUAAGUGCCCGGAGCCUUGCCCAGCCCCAAAGUGCCCGCAGCCGUGUCCUCCCCCUCCGUGCCAGCAGAAGUGCCCCCCCUGCCAGCAGAAGUGUCCUCCCAAGUGCAAGUAACAGCGCCCGCACCGCCCAGGGUCAUGAAACGGAAGGACCCAGGCUCGUCUCAGUCCCAGGACCCCAUCACCCUCCUUUCUGCCGUGGUGACGCAUGCGUCUUCUCUCAGCUCCCACCUGAGCUGACAGCUCACAGAGAAAAGGCCUGGUGCCUGAGCUGAUGCCAUGCGGCUGGAGGACGCACAGCGACAUCAUUGCCUAAUCUCGCUCUGCCACCUCUCUCUGGUCUGGGUGUGGUCUCCAUCCUGGGAGGAUGUUGGCGUGUCUAUUGUUUUCCUUCUCCAAUAAAGCACGUGUUUCAUGG
Long non-coding RNA from Manis pentadactyla (Chinese pangolin), 1570 nucleotides. RefSeq lists it as uncharacterized. The transcript is spliced from 2 exons. NCBI's taxonomy places the organism in Eukaryota, Metazoa, Chordata, Mammalia, Pholidota, Manidae. The record is from RefSeq and is a predicted model, not a curated record.